Molecule: long non-coding RNA, 403 nt
Organism: Osmerus eperlanus (European smelt)
Lineage: Eukaryota; Metazoa; Chordata; Actinopteri; Osmeriformes; Osmeridae
Exons: 4
Source: RefSeq, a predicted model, not a curated record
AUGGUCGGCAUGCACAACCAGGUGGGAACCAUUUCAGUGGGGCCAGUUCCGGUUACCAGGCUCCAUUGACUUGGAGUGGAGCUAGAGGUGCUCCUCAUUAUCACAUCACCGGAGAGCAACUGAGGGGUCUGAUGAUAGAUGGCAGAUAUUCUCCACAUGUUCCAUUCUACACUCAAACCACAUCUAAGGCACUUUGCAUUAACCUGAGGGCAGCUGCCUUCCCAUCAAUGUUGCAGAGGCUGCACAGAAGGUACAGUGUUGCUGCUCUGAAUUCUUUAUGACACAUCGAUGGAAACUACAGACUAAAGGUGGAGGAUAGUCAUCCAUGGUGGCAUUGAUGGUUACAGCUGCCUUGUGUUUCUCCACGCUUUCAGCAACAAGUGCAGCAUUACUAAAUGCUGAG